GACGAACGCUGGCGGCGUGCUUAACACAUGCAAGUCGAACGGAAAGGCCCUGCUUGCAGGGUACUCGAGUGGCGAACGGGUGAGUAACACGUGGGUGAUCUGCCCUGCACUUCGGGAUAAGCCUGGGAAACUGGGUCUAAUACCGGAUAGGAGCCAUUUUUAGUGUGAUGGUUGGAAAGUUUUUUCGGUGUAGGAUGAGCUCGCGGCCUAUCAGCUUGUUGGUGGGGUAAUGGCCUACCAAGGGGGCGACGGGUAGCCGGCCUGAGAGGGUGGACGGCCACAUUGGGACUGAGAGACGGCCCAGACUCCUACGGGAGGCAGCAGUGGGGAAUAUUGCACAAUGGGCGCAAGCCUGAUGCAGCGGCGCCGCGGGGGGGAUGACGGCCUUCGGGUGGUAAACUCCUGUCGCUAGGGACGAAGCUUUUUGUGACGGUACCUAGAUAAGAAGCACCGGCUAACUACGUG
RNAcentral lists this ribosomal RNA (465 nucleotides) under uncultured bacterium. RNAcentral describes it as "partial 16S ribosomal RNA". It matches the Rfam family "Bacterial small subunit ribosomal RNA", at positions 28 to 507 of the family's 1533-position model. The record is from RNAcentral.